RNAcentral lists this ribosomal RNA (497 nucleotides) under uncultured bacterium. RNAcentral's name for it is "partial 16S ribosomal RNA". It matches the Rfam family "Bacterial small subunit ribosomal RNA", at positions 28 to 507 of the family's 1533-position model. The record is from RNAcentral.
GAUGAACGCUGGCGGCGUGCCUAAUACAUGCAAGUCGAGCGAACAGAUGAGGAGCUUGCUCCUCUGACGUUAGCGGCGGACGGGUGAGUAACACGUGGAUAACCUACCUAUAAGACUGGGAUAACUUCGGGAAACCGGAGCUAAUACCGGAUAAUAUAUUGAACCGCAUGGUUCAAUAGUGAAAGACGGUUUUGCUGUCACUUAUAGAUGGAUCCGCGCCGCAUUAGCUAGUUGGUAACGUAACGGCUUACCAAGGCAACGAUGCGUAGCCGACCUGAGAGGGUGAUCGGCCACACUGGAACUGAGACACGGUCCAGACUCCUACGGGAGGCAGCAGUAGGGAAUCUUCCGCAAUGGGCGAAAGCCUGACGGAGCAACGCCGCGUGAGUGAUGAAGGUCUUCGGAUCGUAAAACUCUGUUAUUAGGGAAGAACAAAUGUGUAAGUAACUAUGCACGUCUUGACGGUACCUAAUCAGAAAGCCACGGCUAACUACGUG